CCUACGGGAGGCAGCAGUGGGGAAUAUUGCGCAAUGGGCGAAAGCCUGACGCAGCGACGCCGCGUGAGGGAUGAAGGUCUUCGGAUCGUACACCUCUGUCAGCAGGGACGAACGGUCACUGUGCUAAUCAGCAGUGCAUUGACGGUACCUGCAACGGAAGCCCCGGCUAACUCCGUGCCAUCAGCCGCGGUAAUACGUAGGGUGAUAGCGUUAAUCGGAAUUACUGGGCGUAAAGCGCUCGUAGGCGGUAUGUCAAGUCAAGGGUGAAAUCCCCGGGCUCAACGUGGGAACUGCCUUUGAAACUGGCAAACUGGAGUGUGUGAGAGGAGAGUGGAAUUCCAGGGGUAGGAGUGAAAUCCGUAGAUAUCUGGAGGAACAUCAGUGGCGAAGGCGACUAUCUGGCACAUAACUGACGCUGAGGAGCGAAAGCGUGGGUAGCAAACAGGAUUAGAUACCCUGGUAGUC
RNAcentral lists this ribosomal RNA (465 nucleotides) under uncultured bacterium. RNAcentral's name for it is "partial 16S ribosomal RNA". It matches the Rfam family "Bacterial small subunit ribosomal RNA", at positions 338 to 795 of the family's 1533-position model. The record is from RNAcentral.